This 297-nucleotide ribosomal RNA is filed under the name uncultured Pseudomonadota bacterium. RNAcentral's name for it is "uncultured proteobacterium partial 16S ribosomal RNA". It matches the Rfam family "Bacterial small subunit ribosomal RNA", at positions 29 to 351 of the family's 1533-position model. The record is from RNAcentral. Lineage: Bacteria; Pseudomonadati; Pseudomonadota.
AGCGAACGCUGGCGGCAGGCUUAACACAUGCAAGUCGAACGCCCGUAGCAAUACGGGAGUGGCAGACGGGUGAGUAACGCGUGGGAACAUGCCCUUUGGUUUGGAAUAACUCAGGGAAACUUGGGCUAAUACCGGAUACGUCCGCAAGGAGAAAGAUUUAUCGCCGAAGGAUUGGCCCGCGUCUGAUUAGCUAGUUGGUGAGGUAACGGCUCACCAAGGCGACGAUCAGUAGCUGGUCUGAGAGGAUGAUCAGCCACAUUGGGACUGAGACACGGCCCAAACUCCUACGGGUGGCAG